This 238-nucleotide ribosomal RNA is filed under the name Fusobacterium naviforme. Its description in RNAcentral is "partial 16S ribosomal RNA". It matches the Rfam family "Bacterial small subunit ribosomal RNA", at positions 511 to 748 of the family's 1533-position model. The record is from RNAcentral. Lineage: Bacteria; Fusobacteriati; Fusobacteriota; Fusobacteriia; Fusobacteriales; Fusobacteriaceae.
GCAGCCGCGGUAAUACGUAGGGGGCAAGCGUUAUCCGGAUUUACUGGGUGUAAAGGGAGCGCAGACGGCUAUGCAAGUCUGAAGUGAAAGCCCGGGGCUCAACCCCGGGACUGCUUUGGAAACUGUGUAGCUAGAGUGUCGGAGAGGUAAGCAGAAUUCCCAGUGUAGCGGUGAAAUGCGUAGAUAUUGGGAAGAAUACCGGUGGCGAAGGCGGCUUACUGGACGAUAACUGACGUUC